RNAcentral lists this ribosomal RNA (200 nucleotides) under uncultured bacterium. Its description in RNAcentral is "partial 16S ribosomal RNA". It matches the Rfam family "Bacterial small subunit ribosomal RNA", at positions 8 to 228 of the family's 1533-position model. The record is from RNAcentral.
AGAGUUUGAUCAUGGCUCAGGAUAAACGCUGGCGGCGUGCCUAACACAUGCAAGUCGAACGCCCUACGCAAGUAGGGAGUGGCGGACGGGUGAGGAACACGUGGGUACCUACCCUUCAGUGAGGAAUACCGGCGAGAAAUCGCCGACAAGACCGCAUACGCUUCGCAAGAAGGAAAGCUCGUAAGAGCGCUGGAGGAUGG